This 207-nucleotide unclassified non-coding RNA is filed under the name Hevea brasiliensis (rubber tree). The record is from RNAcentral. Lineage: Eukaryota; Viridiplantae; Streptophyta; Magnoliopsida; Malpighiales; Euphorbiaceae.
GCUUUACUAAUAACAUAGAAAGGGCUUUUCUCGCUUGUUUAGUAAAGUCCAGUUUUUGGCCUUAUCUUGCAGGUGACGACGACGUCGAGUUGGCGGCGGAGAAAGACUCGGCAUUCAGGCGAGCCGCCCGGUGGUGUGGUACGUAGUGGGUUUAGUACGCCCCGCCAAAACGGCUCCGAAACAAACAAAAGGGUGCGUGCCGCACUC